GGGGCCGUAGCUCAGCAGGAAGAGCGCCGCUGUGGCAUGGCGGAGGUCGCCGGUUCGAGUCCGGUCGGUUCCAC
RNAcentral lists this transfer RNA (74 nucleotides) under Actinoplanes siamensis. RNAcentral's name for it is "tRNA-Ala". It matches the Rfam family "tRNA". Rfam says of the family: Transfer RNA (tRNA) molecules are approximately 80 nucleotides in length. Their secondary structure includes four short double-helical elements and three loops (D, anti-codon, and T loops). Further hydrogen bonds mediate the characteristic L-shaped molecular structure. tRNAs have two regions of fundamental functional importance: the anti-codon, which is responsible for specific mRNA codon recognition, and the 3' end, to which the tRNAs corresponding amino acid is attached (by aminoacyl-tRNA synthetases). tRNAs cope with the degeneracy of the genetic code in two manners: having more than one tRNA (with a specific anti-codon) for a particular amino acid; and 'wobble' base-pairing, i.e. permitting non-standard base-pairing at the 3rd anti-codon position. Lineage: Bacteria; Bacillati; Actinomycetota; Actinomycetes; Micromonosporales; Micromonosporaceae. The record is from RNAcentral.